GAUGAACGCUGGCGGCGUGCUUAAUACAUGCAAGUCGAGCGAACGGACGAGAAGCUUGCUUCUCUGAUGUUAGCGGCGGAGGGGUGAGUAACACGUGGAUAACCUCCCUAUAAGACUGGGAUAAUUUCGGGAAACCGGCGCAUAUACCGGAUAAUAUUUUGAACCGCAUGGUUCAAAAGUGAAAGACGGUGUUGCUGUCACUUAUCGAUGGAUACGCGCUGCUUUGGCUAGUUGGGAAGCUAACGGCCUAUCAAGGCGACGAUGCGUAGCCGACGUGAGAGGGUGGUCGGCCACACGGGAGCGGAGACACGGUCCAGACUCCUACGAGAGGCAGCAGUAGGGAAUCUUCCGCAAUAGGCGGAAGCCUGACGGAGCGGCGCCGCGUGUGUGAUGGAGGUCUUCGGAUCGUAAAACUCGGUUUUGAGGGAAGAACAGCUGUGGAAGGUACUGAGCACAUCUUGACGGUACCGAAUCAGAAAGCCACGGCUAACUACGUG
RNAcentral lists this ribosomal RNA (497 nucleotides) under uncultured bacterium. RNAcentral describes it as "partial 16S ribosomal RNA". It matches the Rfam family "Bacterial small subunit ribosomal RNA", at positions 28 to 507 of the family's 1533-position model. The record is from RNAcentral.